This 468-nucleotide ribosomal RNA is filed under the name uncultured bacterium. RNAcentral describes it as "partial 16S ribosomal RNA". It matches the Rfam family "Bacterial small subunit ribosomal RNA", at positions 28 to 507 of the family's 1533-position model. The record is from RNAcentral.
GACGAACGCUGGCGGCGUGCUUAACACAUGCAAGUCGAACGGAAAGGCCCUGCUUUUGUGGGGUGCUCGAGUGGCGAACGGGUGAGUAACACGUGAGUAACCUGCCCUUGACUUUGGGAUAACUUCAGGAAACUGGGGCUAAUACCGGAUAGGAGCUCCUGAUGCAUGGUGGGGGUUGGAAAGUUUCGGCGGUUGGGGCUGGACUCGCGGCUUAUGAGCUUGUUGGUGGGGUAGUGGCUUACCAAGGCUUUGACGGGUAGCCGGCCUGGGAGGGUGACCGGGCACAAUGGGACUGCGGGAGGGACCAGUAUCCUACGGGAGGCAAUGGGGGGGAAUAUUGCACAGUGGGGCGGAGCGAGUGGCGGCGACCCCGCGAUCGGGAAGAUGGGCUUCUGGUUGAGAACCGCUUUCUACUUAGACGUAGCGUGCGUGACGGUAAUGAGUAAGGAAGCACCGGCUAACUACGUG